AGUGGCGAACGGGUGAGUAAAGUAUCGGAACGUGGCCAGUCGUGGGGGAUAACCUAGCCAAAGUUACGCUUAUACCGCAUACGAUCUAUGGAUGAAAGCGGGGGAUCGCAAGACCUCGCGCGAUUGGAGCGGCCGAUAUCAGAUUAGGUAGUUGGUGGGGUAAAGGCUCACCCAGCCCGACGAUCUGUAGCUGGUCUGAGAGGACGACCAGCCACACUGGGACUGAGACACGGCCCAGACUCCUACGGGAGGCAGCAGUGGGGAAUUUUGGACAAUGGGCGCAAGCCUGAUCCAGCCAUGCCGCGUGCAGGAUGAAGGCCUUCGGGUUGUAAACUGCUUUUGUACGGAACGAAAAGGUUUGGCCUAAUAAGCUGAGCUCAUGACGGUACCGUAAGAAUAAGCACCGGCUAACUACGUGCCAGCAGCCGCGGUAAUACGUAGGGUGCGAGCGUUAAUCGGAAUUACUGGGCGUAAAGCGUGCGCAGGCGGUUAUGUAAGACAGAUGUGAAAUCCCCGGGCUCAACCUGGGAACUGCAUUAGUGACUGCAUAGCUGGAGUACGGAGAAAGGGGGAUGGAAUUCCGCGUGUAGCAGUGAAAUGCGUAGAUUAUGCGGAGAACACCGAAUGGCGAAGCAAUCCCCUGGGCCUGUACUGACGCUCAUGCACGAAAGCCGUGGG
RNAcentral lists this ribosomal RNA (678 nucleotides) under uncultured Curvibacter sp. RNAcentral describes it as "bacterial SSU rRNA". It matches the Rfam family "Bacterial small subunit ribosomal RNA", at positions 94 to 766 of the family's 1533-position model. Lineage: Bacteria; Pseudomonadati; Pseudomonadota; Betaproteobacteria; Burkholderiales; Comamonadaceae. The record is from RNAcentral.